This 211-nucleotide unclassified non-coding RNA is filed under the name Hevea brasiliensis (rubber tree). The record is from RNAcentral. Lineage: Eukaryota; Viridiplantae; Streptophyta; Magnoliopsida; Malpighiales; Euphorbiaceae.
GGGUUUUUGGACGUUGCUCCUCACUGCCUACCAGCUUUUCACUCAAUUUGCCCAAACCUGACCUCUUUGAAUCUAAGCUAUGCUCCAGGAAUUCAUGGCAGUGAGCUGACAAAGCUAAUUCACCACUGUAGAAAACUCCAGCGUUUAUGGAUACUAGACUGUAUUGGAGAUAAAGGACUAGAAGUUGUGGCAUCCACUUGUAAGGAUUUGC